CUUUCAUUGAAGAGCUUCUUCUCAUGGCAGUCACCACCCCAUAGAUGUCGCAGGUCCUGAAACGCUGCUCUUUGUGGAAUCUGGAUGGGGCAUGGGGACCUGGGAAGACCAGUGGCAACGACACAGGACUGGGCGAGUUCUGGGAUGGACAGAAUACUCUGUCAAGCCUUGAGCCUUAACACAGCCCCACGAGGUCAGUACUAUGAUGGUUAUCAUCUUUACUGCACAACUAAGGAAAGGGAAGAAAGGUUAGAAAUUUGUCCAGGGACACAGGGCAAAGAUAUGGACUCAGCAGCAUGGUGGCAGUGGCCGCACCGGUAGCCGCGCUAUGGUGCCUCUCAGAGGGGAGAGCCAUGGCCGAG
Molecule: long non-coding RNA, 362 nt
Filed under: Homo sapiens (human)
Lineage: Eukaryota; Metazoa; Chordata; Mammalia; Primates; Hominidae
Description: HSALNT0289926
Source: RNAcentral